This 176-nucleotide transfer RNA is filed under the name Marmota monax (woodchuck). RNAcentral describes it as "tRNA.Ala". The record is from RNAcentral. Lineage: Eukaryota; Metazoa; Chordata; Mammalia; Rodentia; Sciuridae.
GGGGUUGUGGCUCAGAGGUAGAGUGCUCGCCUAGCAUGCAUGAGGCACUGGUUGAUCCUCAGCACCACAUAAAAAAAAAUAAAAUAAAAUAAAAAUAUGUGUCUAAUUAAAGCUAAAAAAUAUAUUUAAAAAAUCAAUCGAGCAGCUAGGAAUGGUAGCAAAUGCCUGUAAUCCCA